This 428-nucleotide ribosomal RNA is filed under the name uncultured bacterium. RNAcentral describes it as "bacterial SSU rRNA". It matches the Rfam family "Bacterial small subunit ribosomal RNA", at positions 355 to 775 of the family's 1533-position model. The record is from RNAcentral.
UGGGGAAUUUUGGACAAUGGGCGCAAGCCUGAUCCAGCCAUGCCGCGUGCAGGAUGAAGGCCUUCGGGUUGUAAACUGCUUUUGUACGGAACGAAACGGCUCUUUCUAAUAAAGAGGGCUAAUGACGGUACCGUAAGAAUAAGCACCGGCUAACUACGUGCCAGCAGCCGCGGUAAUACGUAGGGUGCAAGCGUUAAUCGGAAUUACUGGGCGUAAAGCGUGCGCAGGCGGUUAUGUAAGACAGUUGUGAAAUCCCCGGGCUCAACCUGGGAACUGCAUCUGUGACUGCAUAGCUAGAGUACGGUAGAGGGGGAUGGAAUUCCGCGUGUAGCAGUGAAAUGCGUAGAUAUGCGGAGGAACACCGAUGGCGAAGGCAAUCCCCUGGACCUGUACUGACGCUCAUGCACGAAAGCGUGGGGAGCAAACAG